RNAcentral lists this ribosomal RNA (242 nucleotides) under uncultured bacterium. RNAcentral describes it as "partial 16S ribosomal RNA". It matches the Rfam family "Bacterial small subunit ribosomal RNA", at positions 92 to 334 of the family's 1533-position model. The record is from RNAcentral.
CGACCGGCGCACGGGUGAGUAACGCGUAUGCAACCUACCUAUCAGAGGGGGAUAGCCCAUCGAAAGAUGGAUUAAUACCGCAUAAAACAGGGACUCCGCAUGGAGAUAUUGUUAAAGAGAUUCGCUGAUAGAUGGGCAUGCGUUCCAUUAGUUAGUUGGUGUAGGUAACGGCUCACCAAGACAUCGAUGGAUAGGGGUUCUGAGAGGAAGGUCCCCCACACUGGUACUGAGACACGGCCCAA